AGUGAACGCUGGCGGUAGGCUUAACACAUGCAAGUCGAACGGCAGCACAGUGAGAGCUUGCUCUUACGGGUGGCGAGUGGCGGACGGGUGAGGAAUACAUCGGAAUCUACUUUUUCGUGGGGGAUAACGUAGGGAAACUUACGCUAAUACCGCAUACGACCUACGGGUGAAAGCAGGGGAUCUUCGGACCUUGCGCGAUUGAAUGAGCCGAUGUCGGAUUAGCUAGUUGGCGGGGUAAAGGCCCACCAAGGCGACGAUCCGUAGCUGGUCUGAGAGGAUGAUCAGCCACACUGGAACUGAGACACGGUCCAGACUCCUACGGGAGGCAGCAGUGGGGAAUAUUGGACAAUGGGCGCAAGCCUGAUCCAGCCAUACCGCGUGGGUGAAGAAGGCCUUCGGGUUGUAAAGCCCUUUUGUUGGGAAAGAAAAGCAGCAGGUUAAUACCCCGCUGUUCUGACGGUACCCAAAGAAUAAGCACCGGCUAACUUCGUG
RNAcentral lists this ribosomal RNA (492 nucleotides) under uncultured bacterium. RNAcentral describes it as "partial 16S ribosomal RNA". It matches the Rfam family "Bacterial small subunit ribosomal RNA", at positions 29 to 507 of the family's 1533-position model. The record is from RNAcentral.